This 548-nucleotide ribosomal RNA is filed under the name Colletotrichum sp. ITCC 5402. RNAcentral describes it as "eukaryotic LSU rRNA". The stretch from base 188 to 341 matches the Rfam family "5.8S ribosomal RNA". The record is from RNAcentral. Lineage: Eukaryota; Fungi; Ascomycota; Sordariomycetes; Glomerellales; Glomerellaceae.
GCGGAGGGAUCAUUACUGAGUUUACGCUCUACAACCCUUUGUGAACAUACCUAUAACUGUUGCUUCGGCGGGUAGGGUCUCCGCGACCCUCCCGGCCUCCCGCCUCCGGGCGGGUCGGCGCCCGCCGGAGGAUAACCAAACUCUGAUUUAACGACGUUUCUUCUGAGUGGUACAAGCAAAUAAUCAAAACUUUUAACAACGGAUCUCUUGGUUCUGGCAUCGAUGAAGAACGCAGCGAAAUGCGAUAAGUAAUGUGAAUUGCAGAAUUCAGUGAAUCAUCGAAUCUUUGAACGCACAUUGCGCCCGCCAGCAUUCUGGCGGGCAUGCCUGUUCGAGCGUCAUUUCAACCCUCAAGCUCUGCUUGGUGUUGGGGCCCUACAGCUGAUGUAGGCCCUCAAAGGUAGUGGCGGACCCUCUCGGAGCCUCCUUUGCGUAGUAACUUUACGUCUCGCACUGGGAUCCGGAGGGACUCUUGCCGUAAAACCCCCAAUUUUCCAAAGGUUGACCUCGGAUCAGGUAGGAAUACCCGCUGAACUUAAGCAUAUCAA